Molecule: long non-coding RNA, 416 nt
Filed under: Gossypium barbadense (sea-island cotton)
Lineage: Eukaryota; Viridiplantae; Streptophyta; Magnoliopsida; Malvales; Malvaceae
Description: long non-coding RNA (GBAR_LNC000543)
Source: RNAcentral
UCGAAGGUUGCUAAAAUUGCCAUUUCUUAGCCGAAUAUGUGCUUGAUCAAUGAAGGAAUUGUUGAAGAACAUAGGUGAACUUGGUGAGGGCAAUCGGCCUAGUGUAUAAAUGAUAUGAAGAUUUUAGGAAAUUGUUUUGGUUAGGUGUAUGUAUGAUUAAGUAUAUUCGGCAAUAUACUUAAAGUGGGUACAUGAUAUUACAUUAUAAUUAUUGAGCUUGAGUAUAUGGAUAUGUGUAUAUGUGGUCAUAUAAUGACAUCUUGGUUUGAAAAUUUAAUGAUGUGUGAUUGCCGAAUGUGAUAAAUAAAUUCAUGUUAUUGAGUUAAAUAUUGAAUACUCUUAUUUGUAUUAUUUAAGCUCAAGAACCUAAAGAAGAGGCGUCCAACAAGGGGAAAUCGAAGGUUAUCGAGUAGCCG